ACAGCUGACGGCAUUUCGCCGCAUCAGCCCGCUCGCGCAGGAGGGCUGGGCGCCAGGGUCACCUUCAUCUCGGGACCUCUGCCCACAGAGGUUUCGAGGCAGAGGCCCAGGCCUCGGGACAAAGGCAGUCGGGCCUCGCUGGCCUACAGCAGGCUCGAAGGCCGAUGGUGGGGUCCCAGGACCACCCGUGCCCCUCCGGUGCUGAGCCUGCUGCUCCAUGAGCCAGAGCUCAGUGCUGAGGGAGGAGCUACAGGGGCCCGAAAACUGCCUGCAGGGAGCACCAGCGCUCUCUGGAGACACCUCCUGGUCGGGGCGGAGCGGGGUCUCGGAGCGGCCAACUGCUCCAGUCCCAACCGUAAUGAUGCUUUGUUGCUGGGACACCGCAGGGAACCCAGACUGCUCGAGCAGGCGGCUGAGCGAGACCCCACGCGCACCAACGGUGGAGAGCAGCAAGCAGCGUGGGUGUUUGCAACAAUUCGCAAUUUACCAGGAGGCGUCACCCUCAGCAUGUGGUCUUCGCCCUGCUGCCCUUGGGGAAGACUGGUGCCGGAGCACAAGAUGCUGAAGGGCUGCAGACAAAAAGACUGCAGGGAAGGGCCCUUCCCUAACCAGGCCCUGGCCCUCCUCAACAGAGAAUCCUGCCAUGCCUCUGAGCAGCAAGGAUAUCAUGGGCUUACACAUGGACAGGGCAUGGACAGGGCAUGGACAGGGCAUGGACAGCCCACGUCAGAGGGAACUACCCCCCACCCCCUAUCCCAGGAGAGAAAGGAAUUAUCCUGGGUUCCUUCCCUUGUCUGGUAACACACUGCCAGGCCAGGGGGCUCCCACUGUCUCUGCCGUGUGGACUUGCGAAGAGGGUGCAAGCUGAGCAUGGACCCAGGAAAGCAGGUCUCACCCACGGGGCUGGCCCUCUUCCCUGGUCCUGCAGAGAAGUGCAGAAGGGAGCAAUCCUAGGAGACCUGGCUGCUGUGUCCAGGCAAAGGGCUGUGUCACCCUUACCCAGGGCUGGCUCAGUGACACCAAUCCUUCGAGCUGCCUUCUACUGAGGGUCUCCUGGAGCUGGUUGUUGCGGAUGGCCUCCCUGCCACACCUCCCUGUCCUGUACGUGUCACCCCACACGCGUGCUAGGCUCUCCCUACAGCGCCUCUCUGUGCCUCUCUGCUUUCUCUGGCUGCAAGAGCAGGCUCUGCCUGUGGGAGGCAGUAUAGGUGCUGGGAUGCCCUGACCGCAGCAACAGGAUGGGUGGAUAAAUCCCCAGCAACCUCACCUCUAGGAGCCAGGAUCCUUGGAGUCUUCCCCAGGCUCUCCGUGGGCCUGAGCUCCAAGUGCCCAAAGCUAAACUUCUCCUUAAUUCAGCUCAUCCAUCUGCCUUCCCUUCCUGUCUGGCUCCCCCAACCUCAUCCAGGGCCCACUGGAGUCCUUUCCCAAAUAAAUUAUUCAGCCCCCAAUCUUUAUCUGGAGCCUGCUUCUGGGGAGCCCAGCCUAAAUCACUUUCCUUGUCCUUAGUCCACUCAGUGCUCACAUCACCCCUCCUUUUAACCCGCAGGAAGAGGACACAGAAGCUCAGCGAAGUUCAGUUUGAACGCAGAUCUAGGAGCCCAUGCCCUGCAGUUCAGGCACCUAUGCCUUCUGGCCUCAGUGUUCCCAUCCGUUAAGUAGGUUUUGCUUCCUUCCACACAUUCGCAAGCCAGGACGCCCAGGCCCCACUCGGAACUUCCAGGCCUGCCUGCUCUGUGCUCUACACCAGCACAGCCUCAACUGCCAAAGGUGAACACAGCUGAUGAUUUCAAGUUCAGAAAGCGCAUCUCUCCCAAGAUGGCAAACUCUCAAGAAGGGACAGUAUCUUCAUUACCUCUCCUUUCCCACCUUCUGGCCAGCACAGAACUAGGUACAAAAUUGAUGCUGAUUCACCUCAGUGAUAGGGGUGGCUCUUGUGAAAAGAUUUAAUGCCCGCAAGGAUAUCUGAAGUCCUCAGGUUGGGAUCAAUGGCAUGAUGCAAGAAACAAAUAAUUACCGGGCCCCAGAGAACAACUGUCUCACAGUUCGGCCUAUUCAAAGUGACUCUCCAUUGCUGACACAAUCAAAGAAAAUCAGGGUGGCCCUCACAUUCCACCCAAGCUCAAAAGAUAAACCUUGCCUCCCCAGUAAGCACCCACUGAGAGCAGACCAAGAUGGUAGCCUCAGCCUUCUGGGAACAACAGCUCUUCCCCACAAACGUGGCUUGGGCAGAGUUGUCAGAUGCUAGUACCUUCACAGUCCCUUAUGAAUUUGGGAGAUAAGCUCCUGCCUCUCCUUCUCCCCAUGGAAAUCAGUCACCCCAGAGGGAAGAAGGUUUGCAAGAAUCCCUCUAGUCUGGCCAGUCCACAUGCUCAGGAUGAAGGGACUCACUUCCGGGCCUGAGGCAAGGGUCCUGUGCUGUGCUGAGAUGUUCCCUGGGAAAAACCAGAUGGCUCCUCUCUGCUGCCUGUGCAGUUGUUAGGAGUGCAGAUUCUGGAGCUAGAUGGAUGAGAUUCUGAUCCCAGCUUUGGUACUACCUUGCUGGGCAACCUUGAACAAGUCACCCAACCUCUCUGCAUUCUAUAAAAUGGGGUAACGCUAACACCCGCCUGUUGGCAUUCAUGAGUGGAUACAUAUAAAAUACGGGGACAUGGCCAGGUGUACAAACAGUGCUGAAAAAAUGUUGGCUCUUCCUGCUGUGGUUACUAUGAUUACCGUUACAUCUUAGGUAGUAUGGGAUGCUUCUCUCUGAGGUCCUUUCUAGAUUUAAAGUACUACAAUGACAUGAAAAGGGAACUAGCACUCCAGGUAGGUGUAUCUGGAAUGGCCUCCAGAUUCCACAGGUUCCAGAAGUUCCUGAAAUUCUUGGGGCCCAGUGCAUCCACUUGGUGAAAGCUAAAGAGUCCAUCUCGCUAUGGAAAAACACACAUUCUCCCAUUUCAGCAUUUAUCCUGACCCCCUGUGGUGAGUUCAGUGGUGGCCCACACAAGUUCUGUCCACAUCCUAACCACUGGUGCUCACGAAUAUGACCGACUGAGAAAAGGAUCUUUGCAGGGUUAUCCACGUGAGCCAGCCCCACACCCAGCAGUAAGGAUGCUUAGAAGAGAUGGAAGGUGGUGUGACUCAGGAA
Molecule: long non-coding RNA, 3127 nt
Organism: Fukomys damarensis (Damara mole-rat)
Lineage: Eukaryota; Metazoa; Chordata; Mammalia; Rodentia; Bathyergidae
Source: Ensembl